RNAcentral lists this long non-coding RNA (1229 nucleotides) under Pogona vitticeps (central bearded dragon). Its description in RNAcentral is "lncRNA (ENSPVIG00000014982.1)". The record is from RNAcentral. Lineage: Eukaryota; Metazoa; Chordata; Lepidosauria; Squamata; Agamidae.
CCACAGCUUUCUGACAGAGAACAAUCCAGCCAUAGCAACAGUUGCUAAGUUCCCUUGCCUAGACUUGAGCUUCAGUUCUCACCAAAUCUCCACAGCUGGAAACAUAUUUACAUGCAAUUACUGCUCAAUAAUUAGUGUGUGGAAACAAAGCUUCCAUGAUCAAGUAUGUGGCCCUGGCUGGCUUCUUGUGGGGGAGCAGAAGGAGGAGAGUGAUUCUUUCUCAGUAAGCAUUUACAAUAACCCAGCCAGUAAUCCUGACAUCAAACACACAACACGCUCUUCCGAGCUGCAUCGACGUAAGGCUGUGCUGGCGCAGGCAGGAUAUGCCGGCGCAGGCAGGAUCUGCCAGCUCAACAUCUCCUGAUAACACUGAGAAGAAAGACAGGAGGGAAAGCAAAAGCAUCUAUCGCAAUCAGCAGGCAACGCACAGGCCUAUUGUGUCCUGAUGUUCUAUUGUCGAAAGCCUUGGCUGGAGAGUAAGGCUGCUGCAGUCCCACUGCAUUCAGAAACUCAGAUGCAAAAUGCAUGUAGGACUUAUAAAUAUACCCUGAAGUACUCAGCUGCUUAGGGAAUGACACCAAGGUGACCCAUAGGGUACUAUUCACACAUUCUGGCACAGAGAGAAAAACAGAAAAUGCUUUUCAGAGGAUGAGCUGAAAGAAUGCUGUUGUAUUGCUGUUUUUUCCCCAGGUAUUUUCUCCUGCGUGGCCAACAGUGCAAGGUGGAUAAAUUGGAAAAGGGGCACAAACACAGAAGUGCAAGAUGGAGAAGGGUUUAAAUGUAGGGACAGAAAGCCUUCAGGUUAAAUCUUCCCCUCCUCCUUGCCUUUUCUGUCAUAUAUCUGUGAUCUAAAUGAUAUCCACUCCAAGGUAAGGGAAGAACAGGUACUUGAAAGGGUAAAACUGGGAGGCCAACUAAAUUAUUUUGCCUUAUGGACAGUAUAAAACCGAAGCUGGUCCUAUUUGCCAGAUAAAACGUCUCCAGUGGUUAAGUGCCACACAGAACUUGCAGCUAUUGGGACUUUGCAGCUUUGAGCUGCAAAGUCCUUCCUGAUUAGGAGAGUUUGUUCUAUGUUUAAGACUUUGAAUGAAGAGGAUAGUGAUGACAGAAUGAUAGUGGAAUAACAUUUCAAGUUUUCUGAGCAGCAGACUACAUUUAGUAUAACAGGCAACACACCACAGAAUCUCCAUGUGCAUGCAGAAAUUCAAUAAAUGUGUAUUCACAAUCCA